This 53-nucleotide transfer RNA is filed under the name Trichuris muris. RNAcentral describes it as "tRNA TMUE_M000000010". The record is from RNAcentral. Lineage: Eukaryota; Metazoa; Nematoda; Enoplea; Trichinellida; Trichuridae.
GGGUUUAUAAUGUAAAAGCAUACCUUUCCUGCAAAAAGGAAGUUUAUAAUCCA